This 1341-nucleotide ribosomal RNA is filed under the name uncultured bacterium. RNAcentral describes it as "16S ribosomal RNA". It matches the Rfam family "Bacterial small subunit ribosomal RNA", at positions 28 to 1378 of the family's 1533-position model. The record is from RNAcentral.
GACGAACGCUGGCGGCGUGCUUAACACAUGCAAGUCGAACGGAAAGGCCCUGCUUUUGUGGGGUGCUCGAGUGGCGAAUGGGUGAGUAACACGUGAGUAACCUGCCCUUGACUUUGGGAUAACUUCAGGAAACUGGGGCUAAUACCGGAUAGGAGCUCCUGCUGCAUGGUGGGGGUUGGAAAGUUUCGGCGGUUGGGGAUGGACUCGCGGCUUAUCAGCUUGUUGGUGGGGUAGUGGCUUACCAAGGCUUUGACGGGUAGCCGGCCUGAGAGGGUGACCGGCCACUGGGACUGAGAUACGGCCCAGACUCCUACGGGAGGCAGCAGUGGGGAAUAUUGCACAAUGGGCGGAAGCCUGAUGCAGCAACGCCGCGUGCGGGAUGACGGCCUUCGGGUUGUAAACCGCUUUCGCCUGUGACGAAGCGUGAGUGACGGUAAUGGGUAAAGAAGCACCGGCUAACUACGUGCCAGCAGCCGCGGUGAUACGUAGGGUGCGAGCGUUGUCCGGAUUUAUUGGGCGUAAAGGGCUCGUAGGUGGUUGAUCGCGUCGGAAGUGUAAUCUUGGGGCUUAACCCUGAGCGUGCUUUCGAUACGGGUUGACUUGAGGAAGGUAGGGGAGAAUGGAAUUCCUGGUGGAGCGGUGGAAUGCGCAGAUAUCAGGAGGAACACCAGUGGCGAAGGCGGUUCUCUGGGCCUUUCCUGACGCUGAGGAGCGAAAGCGUGGGGAGCGAACAGGCUUAGAUACCCUGGUAGUCCACGCUGUAAACGGUGGGUACUAGGUGUGGGGUCCAUUCCACGGGUUCCGUGCCGUAGCUAACGCUUUAAGUACCCCGCCUGGGGAGUACGGCCGCAAGGCUAAAACUCAAAGGAAUUGACGGGGCCCCGCACAAGCGGCGGAGCAUGCGGAUUAAUUCGAUGCAACGCGUAGAACCUUACCUGGGUUUGACAUGGAUCGGGAGUGCUCAGAGAUGGGUGUGCCUCUUUUGGGGUCGGUUCACAGGUGGUGCAUGGCUGUCGUCAGCUCGUGUCGUGAGAUGUUGGGUUAAGUCCCGCAACGAGCGCAACCCUUGUUCACUGUUGCCAGCACGUUAUGGUGGGGACUCAGUGGAGACCGCCGGGGUCAACUCGGAGGAAGGUGGGGAUGACGUCAAGUCAUCAUGCCCCUUAUGUCCAGGGCUUCACGCAUGCUACAAUGGCUGGUACAGAGAGUGGCGAGCCUGUGAGGGUGAGCGAAUCUCGGAAAGCCGGUCUCAGUUCGGAUUGGGGUCUGCAACUCGACCUCAUGAAGUCGGAGUCGCUAGUAAUCGCAGAUCAGCAACGCUGCGGUGAAUACGUUCCCGGG